UGCAAUGGUGCAAUAACGGCUCACUGUAACCUCCGCCUCCCAGAAUGAUUGUCACAUAAUGUGUAGAGAAAAUGGAAGAAUCAAAGGCAAGGGAAACCUGUACAGUGGAGACACAAAGGGUCACUGGCAGAUUUCAAAUGAUCCAAGACAUCCUCAAGGAAGAUUUACCACAAGUUACUUUAUCAUAGCUUUGAGUGGCAUUUUAAUAUCAUAUUUUAAAAGAAAGAAAACAAUAGAAAUGUAUUAAAAUAUCUUCUCAAGAAUCCUUCCAAACCACAAGGAAAAUCACCAGGCCAAAAGUGAGGUUUGAAGUCUGGACAUGUACUGGUUUUCUCUAGCAAUCGACUCUCAAUUUUUGGACAUUGAGAUCUGCUGGUUGGAGAUCUUAGUGCCCAAGGAAGAAUGCUUGCAAAAGGAGAUGGAACAGUGUUUCUGUUGCAUUGGCCACUGAGAAUAUCUGGUUAUUUUGAAUUUGUCACAGUCUGCAGCUAAAAGGCGAACAGGAAAAGAAGAGAGAGCGGUAAUUUGAAUGAUAGCAGAUUUCACAUCAGGAACCAAUGAAGCUAGAUAAGAAUGCAACAUCUUUGAUGUCUAAAAGAAACAAAAAGCCAACCUUGAAUUCUUUAUUUAGUGAAGUUACCCUUCAGAAAUGACGGCAAAAUAAAGAUGUUUUCCAAUAAAAGACAACUAUGAGAAUUCUUCACCAGCAGUCCUAUUGUAUCAGAACAGCCAAAAGAAGUUUGUCAGCCUACAGGGAAUUAUAUCAAAGGGAAGACUUGACCUUGAAAAUGAAUGAGGAAUAUAAGAAAUUGAUAUUAUCUGGGAAGCGGCACAUGAGACUAGCAGGAGUAAAUGUUAUAUACACUGGGCCUCGCAAAAAUUCUGCAAUCACUGGGAAUCAGUAACCUGGUAGAAUGAGAAAACAACGUAAUACUGAAAAAUCAAAACACCAUCCUACAGAACUUUGAUGCAUUCAGAACAAAGAUCACGAAUCAAGCUGAAAAAGUAAAGCAUUCUGUGAGUUGUGGAAUGGAAAUUGCCUCAACCAUCUCACCACUUGAUGACACUUGUAAUUUCAGUGACCCAAUUCAAGCAAUCAAACAUCAAGUAAUACUCUCAAUAAAGAUGUGUAAUUAAAACAGAAGAGGAAACAGACUAACAGAAGUGAUGAAGAAUGGCAGUUCUAAGGAUGGCAGGAAUUCACUGAAUGUCUAUCUAUCAUGUAUGCUGUUGGAGGCACCUGUCUUUCAGUUCAGAGGUUAUGGAUGUAUCUAUCAUCAGUAUUUCGGGAAGUCAGGGACCCGGAACAGAGGGACUUAAUGAAGCUGUGGCAGAAGAAAAAAUUAUGAAGAUUUCAUGGACAUUUAUUAGUUCCCCAAAUUAAUACUUUUAUAAUUUCUUACA
RNAcentral lists this long non-coding RNA (1404 nucleotides) under Homo sapiens (human). Its description in RNAcentral is "HSALNT0308621". Lineage: Eukaryota; Metazoa; Chordata; Mammalia; Primates; Hominidae. The record is from RNAcentral.